Molecule: ribosomal RNA, 442 nt
Filed under: uncultured bacterium
Lineage: Bacteria
Description: partial 16S ribosomal RNA
Rfam family: Bacterial small subunit ribosomal RNA
Source: RNAcentral
CCUACGGGAGGCAGCAGUGGGGAAUAUUGGGCAAUGGGCGCAAGCCUGACCCAGCAACGCCGCGUGAAGGAAGAAGGCUUUCGGGUUGUAAACUUCUUUUGACAGGGAAGAGCAGAAGACGGUACCUGUCGAAUAAGCCACGGCUAACUACGUGCCAGCAGCCGCGGUAAUACGUAGGUGGCAAGCGUUGUCCGGAUUUACUGGGGGUAAAGGGCGUGUAGCCGGGCUGACAAGGCAGAUGUGAAAUCCGGGGGCUCAACCCCCGAACUGCAUUUGAAACUGUUGGUCUUGAGUAUCGGAGAGGCAGGCGGAAUUCCUAGUGUAGCGAUGAAAUGCGUAGAUAUUAGGAGGAACACCAGUGGCGAAGGCGGCCUGCUGGACGACAACUGACGGUGAGGCGCGAAAGCGUGGGGAGCAAACAGGAUUAGAUACCCCUGUAGUC